CCUACGGGGGGCAGCAGUGGGGAAUAUUGGACAAUGGGGGCAACCCUGAUCCAGCCAUGCCGCGUGUGUGAAGAAGGCCCUCGGGUUGUAAAGCACUUUCAGUGAGGAAGAACGCCUGGUGGUUAAUACCCAUCAGGAAAGACAUCACUCACAGAAGAAGCACCGGCUAACUCCGUGCCAGCAGCCGCGGUAAUACGGAGGGUGCGAGCGUUAAUCGGAAUUACUGGGCGUAAAGCGCGCGUAGGUGGCUUGAUAAGCCGGUUGUGAAAGCCCCGGGCUCAACCUGGGAACGGCAUCCGGAACUGUCAAGCUAGAGUGCAGGAGAGGAAGGUAGAAUUCCCGGUGUAGCGGUGAAAUGCGUAGAGAUCGGGAGGAAUACCAGUGGCGAAGGCGGCCUUCUGGACUGACCCUGACACUGAGGUGCGAAAGCGUGGGUAGCAAACAGGAUUAGAUACCCCGGUAGUC
Molecule: ribosomal RNA, 465 nt
Filed under: Vreelandella stevensii
Lineage: Bacteria; Pseudomonadati; Pseudomonadota; Gammaproteobacteria; Oceanospirillales; Halomonadaceae
Description: partial 16S ribosomal RNA
Rfam family: Bacterial small subunit ribosomal RNA
Source: RNAcentral